Long non-coding RNA from Cercocebus atys (sooty mangabey), 2362 nucleotides. RefSeq lists it as uncharacterized. The transcript is spliced from 2 exons. The record is from RefSeq and is a predicted model, not a curated record. Lineage: Eukaryota; Metazoa; Chordata; Mammalia; Primates; Cercopithecidae.
CCCACCCCUCAAAGAUGUGCAUGUUCGGUUCCCCAGUGUGUCUACAUGGUCCUGGUGUGAGUGUGGGGUGUGUGUGAAUGUGCCCUGCGAUGGGACAGUGUCCUGUUCAGGGCUGGUUCUCACCUUAAGCCUUGAGCUGCUGGAAUGAGCUACACCAACUGGAGACUGGAGACUCUGGCAACCUGGAGAACUGUUAUUGUUGAGCCUCAGUGGAUCCUUAUCAAGUGCAAGAAGAGAGAGCAAAUACCACGAAAGCCCAGAUUCGUAACUAGAGAUCUGCGAACUGUUGAAAUUAUGUGCACGAUGUUCAACAUCUAUGUAUUUCUUAUGGGAUUCCAGGAUUGCUGGUGUGAACUUUUUGCCACCUGCACAGCUUUCUCAAGAGUACAAGACUGUAAUCAAUCACAAUUGUUUCCAAGAUACAUUGCCUUAACUAAACAUUUUGAUCUGUUGAGAAUGGAACAACUUGAUUCCAACCCUGAGCAUGGCAAGGGCGAAGGACUGUCGUGGGAAACAGGGGAGAAGGUGAGGUCUCAGUUUGCCUAGAGGUAAGAGAGUUAAGAGAAAGCUUUGAUGACACUCAGUUGUGGAGCCCAGGGUUGAUGCCACCUUAGGCAUGGCCUUUGUGGAAUAACUUACUGGACAUCCAUAAUACUAGCAUCCAUUGCUGCUAGUUUAUGCAAGCGGCAUGGAGUCAGCAUAUCCAGAUAACCCAGGAAAAGUAUGUCACUUGUAAAUAACCCACGACUCUAUGCUGAAGUCACAAACUAUGGCCCAUGGGCCAGACCUGAUCUGUUGCCUGUUACUUUUUUUUUCCUUUUUGGUCUGAUCUGUAUAAAGUAGACUUUACAUUUUGAAAUCAUUACAAAAAAAUCAAAAUAUUAUAUGGCAUGCGAAAGUUACAGGAAAUUCAAAUUUGUGUCCCUGAAUAAUUUUACUGGAACACAGCCAUGCCCAGGCGUUCACAUACUGUCAAUGACUGCCUUUGUAUUACACAACAGCCGAGUUGAGCAACAGAGACAGUUAUGGCCUACAAAGCCUAAAAUAUUUACUAUCUCCGUCCCUUUACAGAACAAAUUUGCCAACCCCUAUCUCAGAGCUCACAUCUCACAAGUGCUCUGGUAACUUUUUCAUAAAUAAAAGAUAAAGCCUGAAUGUGUAACUACAAAACAGUCACAUUUAUUACUGUUUGCUGUAGUUUCCAAAGCUUGUGCACCAGACAUGCAUAAAAAAUGCAAAAGUGAGCCCAGACUGGUUAUAAAAUGUUUCCUGUUUGUCAUUUCUCCCUUUGCAGUUUCCCUACUGGGCUUGCACACGCAGCAGAGGAAGAACAACACUUAGUCACCGUGCUAGAUUUAAAAGCAUUUAAUGACAUAGCAUAUAUUUAACAGAUAGGGCAAAAGUUGAGAGGUACAGGUCGUACGACUGAGCACCAGGCCUGAGCGACCACCUCCCUGUUCAGGCCCAGCCUCUGGAGUUCAUUCCUAUCAAUGUCAUUUUGAUUGUGCAGUAAGAUGAAAAUUUGUCAUUACAAUAGUUACAGUGACAGAGAAAUGCACACUAUGUAUCAAAUAGCAAGGAAAUGAAGCAAAUUAUAACACAGUGUGGCAACGCACGAGCAAGUAACCAUUAAAGUAACAUUACUUUGUCCAGUAAAUGCUUCAGUUCCACCACUUAUACACUUACCAAUGAUUUAAAGGGUUUAUUAUACAUCUAGUUUUAUUAUACUUUGUACUAGAAUUAUCUCAAACAUACAAUAUAAUGUAUUUCAGCAAAAAAAAAAAAAAAAAAAUUGAAAUUACAGAUUAUUUAAAACAGUAUCAGUUUUCUAUUCCUUCUUGUAUACUGACAUUCUUAACCGUCAUAGCAGUUGAUGCAGAAAAGCCGCAUGUCAUGUGUUAGUAAGUGAUGCCAGAUACAAAUGGUUUGGUCUGUAGAGUUAAUGUGGAGCUGCACUGUGGCUGCAGCAAGAUCAUAAUAUGUGAUCUGUUUAAUAAAGGUUAGCCCCAUCUUGGGCACUUCUAAUAGUCAAGACUCAGGGUAACCACCGGAAGUAAAUGGAGAGAGAAUGGUGUCAGGAUAUUGGUACAUUUUGUCUCUGGUAAGCACAGGAAAUAUUGAUUAAGCACCGCUGCCUUGCAUACCAACAGCACUAGAGGCGGGUUAUUUCCAACACAGCCUCACAAAAUUGAGGAACAGUUUAAAUACUGAGAUCUAAUCUAUAUAAUUUCAUUAAAAAAAAUCUGGCCUUCCCUCUGCACCUCAAACUUUUGUAACUUGGAGAUAAAGUGUUUAGGUGUGUUUCCCCCACCCCCCAGAAAUGCUCUAUAAAUUAAAAAAAAAAAAAAAAAAAAAAAAAAAA